Molecule: long non-coding RNA, 251 nt
Filed under: Fukomys damarensis (Damara mole-rat)
Lineage: Eukaryota; Metazoa; Chordata; Mammalia; Rodentia; Bathyergidae
Description: lncRNA (ENSFDAG00000025375.1)
Source: RNAcentral
GACUGAAGCUGGAGUUUGAUCCUCAGAAGGGGUUUGGGCCAGAAAAGCACAAUAUGGGGCCCUUUAGAACAGCCAGGAUAGCCCCACGGAAAAUCACAAGGCUUCUGCAGGGAGCAUUUUUAUUCAUCUUAAUCUGGAGGCUCUUGGCUGCCCCCGCCUUCGUGAGAGAAUGAGGAAACACUCCAGUUUGAUGAGCAGGAACACCACCGGUUAUCUCCUCGGAACAUCUGCUGAUUCCAACGAAAUGCCAC